Molecule: long non-coding RNA, 408 nt
Filed under: Rattus norvegicus (Norway rat)
Lineage: Eukaryota; Metazoa; Chordata; Mammalia; Rodentia; Muridae
Description: long non-coding RNA NONRATT027081
Source: RNAcentral
CAAGAGCAUUCUCUCCCUGUUUAUGGAGUUCCAUUUGCACUCUUUCUAAACGUCAUGCGCCCUCUCAAGGAUCUGUUCCAGCAAAACAUCGCGCACCCUUUCACGUGUCUGCUUCAGCAAAACGCCCUCUCAUGUGUCUGUUUCAGCAAAACACCAUAUGCCCUCUCACAAAACAGCGUCCACGAAAACAUCACAUGAUACAACUAAGUCUCCAAAGAAACUAGAAAUGUCCACUUCAAGGCCCCUUCCUAGCAAGGAGAAGGACGGGUUGGUCCCACUACGGAGGAAUGGUUCAAGAUGUGGACCGUCAGCUUCUGCUUCAGCCACCAGGCCUACUGCACACUGCCAGGCUUCCUCGACACGACGAACUCUGGAUCCACAAGUCCAAAUAAAGCCUUCUAUAAGUUG